Molecule: transfer RNA, 60 nt
Filed under: Coleolaelaps cf. liui XFX-2019
Lineage: Eukaryota; Metazoa; Arthropoda; Arachnida; Mesostigmata; Laelapidae
Description: tRNA-Trp
Source: RNAcentral
AAAAAAUUAAGUUAAUCAAACUAUCUUCCUUCAAAGAAGGAAAUAUAUUUAUAUUUUUUC